Molecule: non-coding RNA, 72 nt
Organism: Aedes albopictus (Asian tiger mosquito)
Lineage: Eukaryota; Metazoa; Arthropoda; Insecta; Diptera; Culicidae
Source: Rfam
GGCUCGGUAGCUAAGUCGGUAAAGCACUUGUAUAGCAUAUAAGGGUCGUGAGUUCAUAUCUCCCAUGAUCUG